Molecule: non-coding RNA, 74 nt
Organism: Potamilus streckersoni
Lineage: Eukaryota; Metazoa; Mollusca; Bivalvia; Unionida; Unionidae
Source: the annotation of a GenBank genome assembly
UCUGGUGUAGUGGUUAGUGCGUCCGCCUCGGAUGCGGGAGGUUGCGGGUUCCAAUUCCGGCCUAGUCAUAACAA